AGUUUGAUCCUGGCUCAGAUUGAACGCUGGCGGCAGGCCUAACACAUGCAAGUCGAGCGGAUGAGAAGAGCUUGCUCUUCGAUUCAGCGGCGGACGGGUGAGUAAUGCCUAGGAAUCUGCCUGGUAGUGGGGGACAACGUUUCGAAAGGAACGCUAAUACCGCAUACGUCCUACGGGAGAAAGCGGGGGACCUUCGGGCCUUGCGCUAUCAGAUGAGCCUAGGUCGGAUUAGCUAGUUGGUGAGGUAAUGGCUCACCAAGGCGACGAUCCGUAACUGGUCUGAGAGGAUGAUCAGUCACACUGGAACUGAGACACGGUCCAGACUCCUACGGGAGGCAGCAGUGGGGAAUAUUGGACAAUGGGCGAAAGCCUGAUCCAGCCAUGCCGCGUGUGUUAAGAAGGUCUUCGGAUUGUAAAGCACUUUAAGUUGGGAGGAAGGGCAUUAACCUAAUACGUUAGUGUUUUCACGUUACCGACAGAAUAAGCACCGGCUAACUCUGUGCCAGCAGCCGCGGUAAUACAGAGGGUGCAAGCGUUAAUCGGAAUUACUGGGCGUAAAGCGCGCGUGGGUGGUUUGUUAAGUUGGAUGUGAAAGCCCCGGGCUCAACCUGGGAACUGCAUCCAAAACUGGCAAGCUAGAGUACGGUAGAGGGUGGUGGAAUUUCCUGUGUAGCGGUGAAAUGCGUAGAUAUAGGAAGGA
Molecule: ribosomal RNA, 700 nt
Filed under: Pseudomonas putida
Lineage: Bacteria; Pseudomonadati; Pseudomonadota; Gammaproteobacteria; Pseudomonadales; Pseudomonadaceae
Description: bacterial SSU rRNA
Rfam family: Bacterial small subunit ribosomal RNA
Source: RNAcentral